This 253-nucleotide ribosomal RNA is filed under the name uncultured bacterium. Its description in RNAcentral is "partial 16S ribosomal RNA". It matches the Rfam family "Bacterial small subunit ribosomal RNA", at positions 524 to 776 of the family's 1533-position model. The record is from RNAcentral.
UACGUAGGGGGCAAGCGUUGUCCGGAUUUAUUGGGCGUAAAGGGCGCGUAGGCGGCCUUCUAAGUCGAACGUGAAAUCCCCGGGCUCAACCCGGGAACUGCGUCCGAUACUGGAAGGCUUGAAUCCGGGAGAGGGAUGCGGAAUUCCAGGUGUAGCGGUGAAAUGCGUAGAUAUCUGGAGGAACACCUGUGGCGAAGGCGGCUUUCUGGGCCUUACCUGACGCUGAGACGCGAAAGCGUGGGGAGCGAACCGG